AGUGAACGCUGGCGGUAGGCCUAACACAUGCAAGUCGAACGGCAGCACAGUAAGAGCUUGCUCUUACGGGUGGCGAGUGGCGGACGGGUGAGAAAUACAUCGGAAUCUACUUUUUCGGGGGGGAUAACGUAGGGAAACUUACGCUAAUACCGCAUACGACCUACGGGUGAAAGCAGUGGAUCUUCGGACCUUUCGCGAUUGAAUGAGCCGAUGCCGGAUUAGCUAGUUGGCGGGGUAAAGGCCCACCAAGGCGACGAUCCGUAGCUGGUCUGAGAGGAUGAUCAGCCACACUGGAACUGAGACACGGUCCAGACUCCUACGGGAGGCAGCAGUGGGGAAUAUUGGACAAUGGGCGCAAGCCUGAUCCAGCCAUACCGCGUGGGUGAAGAAGGCCUUCGGGUUGUAAAGCCCUUUUGUUGGGAAAGAAAAGCAGCAGGUUAAUACCCCGCUGUUCUGACGGUACCCAAAGAAUAAGCACCGGCUAACUUCGUG
Molecule: ribosomal RNA, 492 nt
Filed under: uncultured bacterium
Lineage: Bacteria
Description: partial 16S ribosomal RNA
Rfam family: Bacterial small subunit ribosomal RNA
Source: RNAcentral